UGUAUCUAUAAAUUGAGGAGCAAAUCCAACACAAACUCUCAUCGUCUAAAUUUCGCUCAAAUGUAUCUAUAAAUUGAGGAACAAAUCCAGCACAAACUCUCAUCCUCUAAAUUUCAAUCUCCAGUAGUAUGGGUGGAAAAGUAAUUACAUUUCUUGAAUAUUUGCUAUUCUUAAUUCUCAUAAUGUUCCCUCAGGUAGCUGUUUCCAGGAAAUUAUCUGAACAAAUUUAUCCUUACUACCCAAAUGAUCCUUCGAAUAUGGGGAGCUGGAACCCUGGAAGAUGCUCUAUCACCUGCGGCCGCCCAUGCCAUACCCACUACUGCCGCCCAUGCUGCAACAAGCCUGACGUGGCCCGUCCUUGAGAAUUCAAGGCUGAACAAGAAAAGUUGGCAAUGUUUGAAUGACAAUUAUUAAAUAAUUUUCAAACAUUUUAUUCACACGUUAGUAAAUGUACUGAUGAUUAUUUCAGUAUGUCAUAUAUAUUUUGCUUCGAGCUAUUGAAAAGUUUAUGAGAGCACAUUUGAUUAUCAUGACAAA
Molecule: long non-coding RNA, 537 nt
Organism: Salvia splendens (bonfire salvia)
Lineage: Eukaryota; Viridiplantae; Streptophyta; Magnoliopsida; Lamiales; Lamiaceae
Exons: 2
Source: RefSeq, a predicted model, not a curated record